This 246-nucleotide unclassified non-coding RNA is filed under the name uncultured fungus. Its description in RNAcentral is "sequence contains ITS1, 5.8S rRNA gene". The stretch from base 198 to 246 matches the Rfam family "5.8S ribosomal RNA", at positions 1 to 49 of the family's 154-position model. The record is from RNAcentral. Lineage: Eukaryota; Fungi.
UCUCCGUUGGUGAACCAGCGGAGGGAUCAUUAUAGAGUUUUCUAAACUCCCAACCCUUUGUGAACUUACCUUUGUUGCCUCGGCGGGGCCUACCCGGUACCGACCCCUUUUGGGCGAAGUUACCCUGUAGCCCGCCGGUGGAUAACCAAACUCUGAUUUAACGACGUUUCUUCUGAGUGGUACAAGCAAAUAAUCAAAACUUUUAACAACGGAUCUCUUGGUUCUGGCAUCGAUGAAGAACGCAGC